This 705-nucleotide ribosomal RNA is filed under the name uncultured Dysgonomonas sp. Its description in RNAcentral is "bacterial SSU rRNA". It matches the Rfam family "Bacterial small subunit ribosomal RNA", at positions 1 to 710 of the family's 1533-position model. Lineage: Bacteria; Pseudomonadati; Bacteroidota; Bacteroidia; Bacteroidales; Dysgonomonadaceae. The record is from RNAcentral.
UCGGCUUAGAGUUUGAUCAUGGCUCAGGAUGAACGCUAGCGACAGGCCUAACACAUGCAAGUCGAGGGGCAGAUGUAGCAAUACAUUGCGACCGGCGCACGGGUGAGUAACACGUAUGCAAUCUACCUUCUACAGAGAGAUAGCCCGUUGAAAGACGGAUUAAUACCUCAUAAUACAGGCUCGCAUGAGUAUUUGUUAAAGGAGCAAUCCGGUAGAAGAUGAGCAUGCGCUCCAUUAGGUAGUUGGUGAGGUAACGGCUCACCAAGCCAACGAUGGAUAGGGGAACUGAGAGGUUUAUCCCCCACACUGGUACUGAGACACGGACCAGACUCCUACGGGAGGCAGCAGUGAGGAAUAUUGGUCAAUGGACGCAAGUCUGAACCAGCCAAGUCGCGUGAAGGAUGACUGCCCUCGGGUUGUAAACUUCUUUUGUACUAGAGUAAAACAGGCUACGUGUAGCCUCUUGCAAGUAUAGUACGAAUAAGCAUCGGCUAACUCCGUGCCAGCAGCCGCGGUAAUACGGAGGAUGCGAGCGUUAUCCGGAUUUAUUGGGUUUAAAGGGUGCGUAGGCGGAAGCUUAAGUCAGCGGUGAAAGUUUGAGGCUCAACCUUAAAAUUGCCGUUGAAACUGGGUUUCUUGAGUGUAAAUGAAGUAGGCGGAAUUCGUAGUGUAGCGGUGAAAUGCAUAGAUAUUACGAGGAACUCC